UGGUGUUGCACGCUGAAUGUGCGUUUCAUCACUUCAAACUGCCGGCAACUCUCAGUAUGAUGGUAGGACCUUAACCCUUGCCCCUUUCGGCGAGGGUUUUCUUUUACG
Non-coding RNA from Klebsiella pneumoniae subsp. pneumoniae MGH 78578, 108 nucleotides. Lineage: Bacteria; Pseudomonadati; Pseudomonadota; Gammaproteobacteria; Enterobacterales; Enterobacteriaceae. The record is from Rfam.